GGGGGCGUAGGAGAGGAGGAUANUUAUUGAUUAUGUAGAGUUUGGUUGUAGCUGGCCCCUAAUUAACUUGGGGGCAUGUGCACACCUUUCUCUUUCAUCCCAUACACACCUGUGCACCUGUGAGACAGAUGUUUUCUAGGGGGGAAGGAACUUUAUUGGACCUACUCUCCUUGGACUCUCUGUCUACUUACUCUAUAUAAACUCUUUUUAUUUUAAAAUGAGUGUAGUGGAUGUCACACCUCUAAUACUAAUUUUCAACCACAGAUCUCGUGGCUCUCACAUCUAAGAAAAACGCCGCAAAGUGCGAUAAAUAGUGAGAAUUGCAAAACUCAGUGAAUCAUCAAAUCUUUGAACGCACCGUGCGCUCCGUGAUAUUCCGUGGAACGUGCCUGUUAGAAUAUCAAGAACUCUUCAAAGUCAAACCUUGUGAUAACUCAAGUGGCUCCGCUUUGAUAGUGGAGGUCUAGUGCAUCUUCACACGUGCUCCUCUUUGUACAUUAUCUGGAUCUCAGUGAUAUGCGUGGCCCCACUCAGCGAGAUAAUAUAUCUAUCUCAGAAGACACCGUGUUAAAAAGGUGUGGCCAAGGUAAAUGCAUAAGAACCUCUUCUAACACUCCAUUCACGUGGACAAAUAUUAAUUUUAAGAUCAGAUCUCAAAUCGUGUAAGACUACCCGCUGAUCUUACGCAUACAAANNGCGGGAAAAAAAA
RNAcentral lists this ribosomal RNA (709 nucleotides) under Rhizoctonia solani. RNAcentral's name for it is "eukaryotic LSU rRNA". The stretch from base 250 to 403 matches the Rfam family "5.8S ribosomal RNA". Lineage: Eukaryota; Fungi; Basidiomycota; Agaricomycetes; Cantharellales; Ceratobasidiaceae. The record is from RNAcentral.